AUGAUGAUGAUGAUAAUAUCGACAUCUGGGUGGAUGUGGAUAUGCCUCCAGUUUUACCUAGAUAGGCUCCCGAAGCAGUUUGUGCCUGCCAUGCUAUUUACCGAAGGUGAUAUGCAUAUGGUUAGCUUACGACCAACUCCUUCGGAGGCUUACCAUAUUGCAUACUCAAUUUCUUCAAAUGAUGGAGGGCUCAAAAUCAAAGAAUGGAGCAAAGUGAUGAAUGCGCACAAGCAAAUAAUUGGAGACAAAAUGAAUGUGCGCAAGACACAAGUUGGAGAUAGGUUUAUGUCCAUUCUCCAAUAUGGUGAAGGACCGGUUUAUCUGUUUUAUGGUAUUUUAGCUAGGAGAGAGGAGUAG
RNAcentral lists this ribosomal RNA (357 nucleotides) under Triticum aestivum (bread wheat). RNAcentral's name for it is "partial small subunit ribosomal RNA". Lineage: Eukaryota; Viridiplantae; Streptophyta; Magnoliopsida; Poales; Poaceae. The record is from RNAcentral.